ACGACCUUACUUGAACAGGAUCUAUUCUAUAGGCUCAUACCUCUGUAUCCUUGAGUUCUAACGAGACAGGAAACCAAGCCUGGUUUAUGAACAAUAGCGAAGUGGCUAGAGCGUGAGUAACACCACCGUACCCUCACCAGACGGCGUUGUAGAGGAUCGUUUAUGGCCGUCUAACUGCCGCUUCGCUGUCUGACAGGCU
RNAcentral lists this small nucleolar RNA (199 nucleotides) under Ipomoea nil (Japanese morning glory). RNAcentral describes it as "Plant small nucleolar RNA U3". It matches the Rfam family "Plant small nucleolar RNA U3". From Rfam's summary of the family: Small nucleolar RNAs (snoRNAs) are involved in the processing and modification of rRNA in the nucleolus. There are two main classes of snoRNAs: the box C/D class, and the box H/ACA class. The record is from Rfam by way of RNAcentral. Lineage: Eukaryota; Viridiplantae; Streptophyta; Magnoliopsida; Solanales; Convolvulaceae.